ACUCCUACGGGAGGCAGCAGUGGGGAAUAUUGGACAAUGGGCGAAAGCCUGAUCCAGACAUGCCGCGUGUGUGAAGAAGGUCUUCGGAUUGUAAAGCACUUUAAGUUGGGAGGAAGGGCAGUAAGUUAAUACCUUGCUGUUUUGACGUUACCAACAGAAUAAGCACCGGCUAACUUCGUGCCAGCAGCCGCGGUAAUACGAAGGGUGCAAGCGUUAAUCGGAAUUACUGGGCGUAAAGCGCGCGUAGGUGGUUCAGCAAGUUGGAUGUGAAAUCCCCGGGGCUCAACCUGGGAACUGCAUCCAAAACUACUGAGCUAGAGUACGGUAGAGGGUGGUGGAAUUUCCUGUGUAGCGGUGAAAUGCGUAGAUAUAGGAAGGAACACCAGUGGCGAAGGCGACCACCUGGACUGAUACUGACACUGAGGUGCGAAAGCGU
Molecule: ribosomal RNA, 436 nt
Filed under: uncultured bacterium
Lineage: Bacteria
Description: bacterial SSU rRNA
Rfam family: Bacterial small subunit ribosomal RNA
Source: RNAcentral